This is an RNA transcript of Antechinus flavipes (yellow-footed antechinus), 6685 nucleotides long. It is a transcript of the gene named cholinergic receptor nicotinic alpha 10 subunit, with no coding region annotated. The transcript is spliced from 2 exons. Lineage: Eukaryota; Metazoa; Chordata; Mammalia; Dasyuromorphia; Dasyuridae. The record is from RefSeq and is a predicted model, not a curated record.
GGGGCUGGGCAGCCCAAGCUAGUCUGAAUGGGAACUAUGACAACCUGAGCAGACCAGAACCAGUGGGGGCUGGGCAGCCCAAGCAGGCUCAGAUCCACUGGGGGCUGGGCGGCUCAAGCAAAUCAGAAAGAGGGCUGGGAAAACCGGAGCAGAUCAGAACCAGUGGGGGCUGGGCAGCCCAAGCUAGUCUGAAUGGGGACUGUGACAACCUGAGCAGAUCAGAACCAGUGGGGGCUGGGCAGCCCAAGCAGGCUCAGAUCCACUGGGGGCUGGGCGGCUCAAGCAAAUCAGAAAGAGGGCUGGGAAAACCGGAGCAGAUCAGAACCAGUGGGGGCUGGGCAGCCCAAGCUAGUCUGAAUGGGGACUGUGACAACCUGAGCAGAUCAGAACCAGUGGGGGCUGGGACAAGCCCGGAUCUCCUAUUGGAAUUCAAGGGAUGCUUUUGAGUAGGAUUUGUAAUUGAAUGUCUGGCAUCCUGGAAAGAUAAUUUGUCUGGGGAGGAUAUGCCUCAGCCAGAAGGGCUGGGUAUCUGAAAAGAAUCACAGAUCAAUAGGAAAUACAGUUUCUUAAAGGGACCACAACCCGUUUCAAUCUGAUCCUGGAAAAAAUAAGCCUGGCAUGCUUUUAAAUAUAAUUUGCAUUAUUAAGAUUUUUCUUCCUCACUUCACAAAGUGACAAUCAACUAAACAAUAAACCAAGUCGUGAUUUUUGUAGCAUUUGUUGAUUUUUGAGAUUUAAAUGCUGACUGAAAACUGAAAAAUCAGCUCUCCUGAGCUCAUGAGAGCUGGCUCUCGCCCACCUGGAAAGCACUUAAUGAGCAGGAAAAACACUAUACUUCCUACGCCCCCAGCUCUCAGGGAGCUGUCCAUCAGAGACAAGCCUGAUAAUGCCAGUUAAUGCCUGGGACCUGGGCAUGUGGGUGGAAAUGGGAGACUGAAUCAUCCUUAAAUCCUAGGCAUCUGGGGGAGGAAGUAUUGGAAAGGCUGAGUUGGGCAUUGUUAUUGGUCUCUAGGUCUCUCCCUAGGCGAGCUUUUCUUACAUUCAAUGAAUAAUUGAGCCAAUCUUGGGCUGAAGUUUCAUCUGUUUUGUUUCCACUGGGCCUUCAUAUGAGGAGACAGACUUCUGAGACUCAGCCCUUCCCCAACCUGUUACAGCCUCUGCACCUCUUCAGCUGUUACUGUUACAAUGGGAUCUUGUGGAAUCUCCUUCCCCAUCCCCUGGACGCUCUCUUCAAGACUGUGUCUUUUGCUCUUAACCCAGCUCCUGCCAGGUAUAGAGAACACUCUUUUCAUGGGAGGGCAUAGAAUAGAUGCCAGAUUAUUAGGGGGUGAGAUGCAGAAUGAAUAUUUGGAUUGGUAAUAAGGGAUGCAUGAGAGAAUAAUAGCAAGAUGGAUGGUAGGUUGGUGAAUGGUAAGUAAAAGGAUGAACAGUGGAUAGAAACAGGUAUUUGUUGGCAGGUGGUUGGUGGAUAGAUGGCUUAAAAUGGAUGGUGAAUGAAUAUAAAUUCACAUGAUACUAUAGUCAAAAAAUUAAUUUGAUUUUGGGUUGCAUUGAGGCAUAGUUUUGGGGUGAUAAUUCCAGUCUGCUCUGCACUGGACAGAAUACAGUUAAAGUAUUAUAUUUCCUUGCUGCCAUAUUUUAGAAUAGAUUUUGAUAAACUAGAGAACACCAAGAGGAAUGCAACCAGAAUAAUGAAGAAUAAGAAAGGAACGUGCCAUACCAGUUUAUCCAUUCAAUAAACAGUGAUUAACUGCCUGUUAUGUGCCAGGCAUCCCCUUGAUAAACAGUUUCUGAUAUUAAGGAGCUCAUAUUCUACUGAAAAGAAACAACAUGUACCAUAAGAAUAGUUUUUUUUAAAAAACUAUGUACAGAGUAAUUUCCAGGGAAAGGACACUAGUAACUGUAGGAUUUGGAGAAGUUUCCUAGAAGAAAUGACUCAAGCUGAUCUUUGAAGGAAACUAAGAAUUCUAUGAGGUAGAGGUGGGAAGGCUAAUUAAUUCUAAGCAUUGGGAACAAAUUGCACAAAGGUGCAGAAAUGGGAGGUGAAUUGUCCUAUACAGGAAAGAGCACGACCUCGUGUAGUGAAAGGAUAAGGAUGCUUAUCCAGCAAGAAAACUAAAAAAGUCAGAUAGGUAGGAGAUCCAGGUGCUAAUAGGAUCAUGAAAAUCCAAGAAGGAAAGAAGGUCCCGGAGGAAAGAGUAUCAAAUACUGCAGAGAGGUCAAGAUGGAUAAGAAUAGAGGAAAAAGUCAUCAAAUCUAAAUAUUAAGAAAACAUUGAUAAUUGGAGAAGAAUAAAUUCAGUUGAGCAAUAGGGUCAGAAGGACAACGGCAAAGGACUGACAAGUAAAAUAUAGGAAAGUAUACAUGAAAAUGUGUGUAUUUCAUACACAUAAAAGGAUAUGAGUGUUGAUCCUUUUAUCUAACAGUUACUGUGAAAAGGAAAAAGCCAAGAUGAUAGUUUGAAAAAUAAUUAGAAGGGAAUAGGAUCAAAUGAGGGUUUGAAAAAAAAAUUAACAUUUAUAUAGUAUGUGUCAGACAUUCGGUUAAGCACUUUAAAAUUAUUUUCAGAUUUAAUCUUUAUAACAAUCCUAGGGGGUAGAUGCUAUUAUUCUUCCCAUUUCACAGAUUAGAAAACUCAGGCAGAUAGAAGUGGAGUGACUGAUUGUCUGAGGCCAUAUUUAAACUCAAAAGUUUUUUUUUAAACUCUAAACUCAAGAGUAAUAAUCACUGUACCACCUAGCUGACUUUUUAAGAAUGUGGGAGAUGUAGGCAUAUUUGCAAGUAAUAAGUACCUAGCAGAUAACAAGAGGAUGACUAAGGAGAUGAGCAUUCAGAAGAGAUCUGAGAGAACAUGAUCAAAGGCUCAGAUGGAAGGGUUGGUAUCUGCAAGGGGGAUCACUUCUUCCUCUAAGAUUGGAGCAAAGGAGUAAAGAAUGAAAGAUGCUGUUAAGAUAUUUUGAAACAAAGACACUGGCUAUAUUUAACUUAAAGUUUUAAGGAAUUGGGUUACAUGGUUUUUAAUCUUCAGGUAUCUGAAGGUUUGUCACUUGGAAUGGAAAACUUACUUUAUUUUGACUUGGCCCCAAAGAACAGAAUAGGAACAAGUGGAGGAAAUUGUAAAGGCACAUUCAGACUUGAUUUAAGGAAAAAUUUCCCAAAUGGUGCCUUCAAGGCUCAUUGUUGGAUGUUCCCUUCCAAGAUGGGAUAUAAGAUGGAUGUGAUAUGAAUGUUGAAUGUUGAUAAUAGACUAAUAAGUGAUAGAUGAAUGAACAUUGGAUAAUAGUACAUGGAAUAUUAAUAAGUGGUCAAUAAUAGACGGAUGGUGAGUAGUAGAAAGUAGAUGAUGGGUUGUAGAGAAUAGAAGGAGGGAUGGUAGGUGGGUGGGUAAUGCAUAGUAGGUGGAGAGAGGAUGGUGAUGGUGAAUGGGGCUUAGAUGGGGCUUAGAUGGACUAUGGGUGAAUGGUGAUGACACAGAAUGGUGAGGGGGAUAGAAGAUAGAAAAGAGAUAACGGCUAAAGAAUGGAUAGAUGGCAGAUGAUGGGUGGUGAAUAUGUGUAAGAGUGAAUGAAAAGAAAGCUGGUAGCUGAACUGAAGCUAGGUAGGAGAUGGAUGGUAGAUGUACCUACAUCUCUCCUUUCCUGCUUUUAGGCUCUCAAGCAGCUGAAGGAAAGCUUGCACAGCAACUGCUCCAUGACCUCUUUGCUAACUACACUAGUGCCCUUCGGCCUGUAGAAGACACAGAUCAAGCUCUAAAUGUGACACUAGAUGUGACUCUGUCCCAAAUCAUUGACAUGGUGAGUGGCAGCUGUAGGAAUGUUUUAACUUCAUAGGCAUAAAAGUCAGAAUGUACUGUGCAUGUGCAUGUGAUUGUCUAUACAUGGCUAUCUUUGCACAACCACACAUGUGUGCAAUUGUGUGUAUGCUUUUGUGUAGCUGUGUGUAAGUUACCAUAUUUAUAGGGCACUUUGGUAUUUCUCACCAGUCCUGUUCUUCCCCAGGAUGAACGAAAUCAGGUACUGACCUUAUACCUGUGGAUUCGCCAAGAGUGGGCUGAUGCCUAUCUGCACUGGGAGCCUGAGGUCUAUGGGGGUCUUGACUCCAUAAGAAUCCCCAGUAGCCUGGUCUGGAGACCUGAUAUUGUGCUCUAUAACAAGUAUGACUCUAUAAUAAUAAUAGCUAACCAUUGUAUGGCUAAAGUUUGCAGUUAUGUAUGUUAUCUCUUUUUAAUAUUUAAUAUUUUCAUUUCCCACUUACAUGUAAACAAUUUUUUACAUUUGUUUUUAAAACACUGAGUUCCAGAUUCUCUUCCCUCCUUCCCACUGCAACCCCCAUCAAGAAGGCACAUGUAAAGUUAUGCAAAAACAUUUCCCUAAAAAUCAUGUUGUGAAAGAAAACAUAGCUCUUCCCCCUCAAAAAAAAAAAAAAACCCUCAAGGGAAAAAGUAUACUUCAAUCUGUAUUCAGACACAAUUAGUUCUUCCUUUGGGUAUGGACAGCAUUUUUCAUCCUAAAUUCUUCAGAGUAGUUGUGGAUUACUGUAUUGCUGAGAAUAGCAAAGUAAUCCACAGUUGCUACAAUCUACAACAUUGCUAUAACUUUGUACAAAAUAUAUUUCACUUUGCUUGAGUUCAUGGAGGACUUUCCAGAUUUUUCUGAGAGCAUCCUGCUCAUCAUUUCCCAAGAACAAUAAUAUUCCAUCAUAAUCACAUAGCACAAUUUAUUCAGCCAUUCCCCAGUUGAUGGGCCUCCUUUUAAUUUCUGCUUCUUGCCCUGAGAAGAGAGCUGCUAUAAAUAUUUUUGUACAUCUCUUGGGGCCAUGGAGUGGUAUUGUUAGAUCAAAGAUUAUGCAUAAUUUUAUAGCCCUUUGGGCAUAGUUCAUAUCUUUUGCUCAUUUAUCAAUUGGGGAAUGGUUCUUUUUUAUAUAAAACUGACUCAGUUCCCUAUACAUUCUCUACACAUACAAUGAAGCCUUCAUCAAAGAAACUUGCUUCAAAAUCCUUUUCCCAAUUACUAUUAUUAACUGUAUUUUCCACCAGUUUAUUCUGUUCUCUCUCUCCUUUCACCCUGACCUUCCUCAAGUGUUUUGCUACUGACUAUUCCCUCUCUCAAUAUGCCUUUUCUUAUAACACUCUCCCCCCUUCCCUUAUCCUCUUCUUUAUAUAUAUUAUCUUGUUUUAUUCUCACAAUGACCCUGUGAAAUAUGUACUAUUAUUAUUCCCAUUUUGCAGAUGAAGAAACUGAGAUACAGCACACUGGGCUCUCUGAUAAUAGCCUAGAUUAUAAUUCCCCAAACUGUUAGUCAACAAGAAUUUAUUAAGCACUUACUAUGUGCUAGGCACUGUGCUAAGUAUUGGGGCUACAAAGAGAAGCAAAAACUGUCCCUUCCUUCAGGGAGCUCACAUUCCCCAAAAAAACAAAAACAAAAACAAAAACAUGUAAAUAAGACAUAUACAGUGAGGGAAUUUAUUAACAAGGAGAUAUCAAGUAGAACACAAAAUUCUGGGGAAACCAGCAUAAGUUAUAAAGCAGAUGGGAAAAUAGUCAAUAAGUCAGUCAACAAGCAUUUAUUAAGCACUUACUAUAUGUCAGGCACCAUGCUAACACAAAGAGAAGCAAAAACAGUCCCUUUCCUUUGAGGUCAUAUUCUAAUACAGGAGAUGACAUGAAAAUAACUGUUUCACACACACCAGUAGGGGAGAGAUGUUAUAAUGGAGAGAUAAAGUAAAAACAAAACUCAGGAAAACCAGCAAAACAUACAAAGCAGAAGGAGAAACAGGCUAGGGCAAAGAAAGCAUAAGGCGCAAUGAGGCAGGUAGGGGAUUGAACAGAGCAGAGAAUGAAAUAGAGCAGAAAAAGAGGGUAGAGAAGAAACAAGGCAGAGAAAGAAAUUGGCCCAAAGGAGAAAAGGGUCAUUGGUGUUAAGUAGGAAAAGUACAGAAGCAAAAGAGCAAAGCGAAGAAGAGGGGAACCAGAGAAGUGGUCCUCAAAACCGGAAGAAAAGAAAACAGUAGAAGAGAAACAGUGAAGUAGGGGAAACAGUGCAAGAGGGGAAACAGACUACAGGGUAGAAGGAAACGGACACAAGAAUAAAGGGAGACAGAAGGCAAGAACCGGAGUGGGGUGGUGAUGGAGGAAAGAGUAGAAGAUAACGGUUGAUGCAAAAGUUAGCAUGGGAGAAAUAAAUUCAAGGCAGAGCAAAGGGGGAAACAGCCCAGAGGAGGCCGAGCUGGAAGGAAAUUGCUCUAGGAAGAAUAAGAAAGAGCAGUGAGGAAUCUGAGUUAAGGGAAACUGAGAAAAGUGAAACAGGGAAUAGAGAAUUUGGUAGAGGGAGCAAAAAAGCAGGAAGGGAAAUAUAGGGAAGCAGCAGAUCCCAAGCAAGAUGGGAUCCGUGGAGAACAAAGGAUUCUCCUUUGCUCGUAGUCUCCGAAUAAAAGGUGGAUGGCUAAUAUGUUGUAGGAGGAGUCUUCAGGAAGGUUGGAGCAGCUGGCCCCUUGAGAUCCCUCCCAACUCUGAGAUGCGGUGGUUGGCAAGGAAAAGGAGCAGCGAGGGGAGCUAGAUGGGUACUUUGGACAUCCAUGGCCCUCUAUCCCCUUUAGAGAUGGGUUUGGGAAUUCAAGUUCCUUCCCCACCAAGGACGCACCUUUCUGUUCACUCACGACGGGCCUCCCAGACAGGGUCCCUCUGUC